Molecule: long non-coding RNA, 924 nt
Organism: Cyprinus carpio (common carp)
Lineage: Eukaryota; Metazoa; Chordata; Actinopteri; Cypriniformes; Cyprinidae
Exons: 3
Source: RefSeq, a predicted model, not a curated record
AAGCAUUAAAAUAAAUACUACUUGAGUCUGCAAGAUACACAGAGACAACACACAACAAUCACUGUUUAACUGUGAACAAACAUGGUACACAUCCAUUCCUUUUGUUCUGUAGUUUAUGUGUGUGCUUUUGAGUUCAACACAACAUUUAAUCAGUUUAACCUCAUCGACUGAGAGCUGAUCAGGUGCAUUUAGAUAAACUGACAGAUCCAUGUUUCUCUGCUGGUUGUGACAAAGUAUUAGAUUUGUCUUAAAAUACAUGAAAUUUAAAUCUAACACUGUCCACCUUGUCGUUUUAAUUGAUGAAAGCUGACAGCUCUGUUGCAGAUGACUUUGAGUCUGCUCGGAAGUGAAACUGAAGUGCAGUUGUUCUUCCGCUCCAGUAGGCGGCGGAAGCGGCUUCACGUUCAGUCUGAGCGCUUCGGAUUAGUGACAGAAUGACGCUUGUUGUGACAACAUGUGCAGACCGUUUAAAAUACAGAUCCUGCAGAUGACAGCUGAGUGACAGUGUUUUUAAUAUCACUAAACAGCAUCUAUUCCAGCACAGAAACAAACAAAUCCGACCCCCGCUGUGAUAAAGUGCAGGAAUGGAGAGUCACUAUUAAGGGAUGUAUUUGAACAGAAGCAGAGCUCUGGACGUGUGCACAGACUUUCACUGUAAUGAUGGACAUCUGCUCGUGGACAGAAGUAUAACCCCUGCUGGACAUGGUGCCGGGGCUCGGGGGGGACCCGAAUCGUCCCCAUCCCUUCAUUCACACAACACUCACUCAUAUCGCAGAGAUCUGGCUGGGAUCAAACCAGCAACCUCUGAACCGUGAGGCAGCGCUCUUACCUGUGAGCCACAGAUCUCUUGCUUAAACUUGUGAAGGAACUUAUAUUUCACUAUUUACCUGCAUGUGCUUUUACAAUAAACCAGUUAAAGCUUUG